Molecule: ribosomal RNA, 406 nt
Filed under: uncultured bacterium
Lineage: Bacteria
Description: partial 16S ribosomal RNA
Rfam family: Bacterial small subunit ribosomal RNA
Source: RNAcentral
AUUGAACGCUGGCGGCAGGCUCAACACAUGCAAGUCGAGCGAGCGGCGGACGGGUGAGUAAUGUCUGGGAAACUGCCUGAUGGAGGGGGAUAACUACUGGAAACGGUAGCUAAUACCGCAUUCCAUUAGAAGUGCCCAGAUGGGAUUAGCAAGUGGGUGGGGUAAUGGCUCACCUAGGCGACGAUCCCUAGCUGGUCUGAGUGGAUGAGAAGCGACGCUGGAACUGAGGCACAGGCCAGACUCGGACGGGAGUCGGCAGUGGGGAAUAUUGCACAAUGGGAGCAAUCCUGAUACAGCCAUGCCACGUGUGUGAAGAAGGCCUUCGGGUUGUAAAGCACUUUCAGCGAGGAGGCGUUACUCGCAGAAGAAGCACCGGCUAACUCCGUGCCAGCAGCCGCGGUAAUUC